GCCAGAUGCUGCAAAGAGAAAAAGACUCAACUCUUCCUAAAGAGUUCACAAAAAAUUGGGGGAAUAACACAUCAGAUGACUCAAUUUCAUAGAAUGGAACCCACUCACCCCCGAAAGCAUCUAAUACUCAGCCAGUUCCAAUAGAACAAUGGUAACAUGGUGGUCAGUAGGGCCGUCCCUUCUGGGAACAUGGCAGGACUGCCCUUCCCUCUCCUUUGAAGCUAGGUGUGGCCAUGUGACUUGGUUUGGCCAAUGAAACGUGAGUGGAAGUGACAUGUACCCCUCCUGGGAAGAAGCUUUAAGAGGUA
RNAcentral lists this long non-coding RNA (308 nucleotides) under Equus caballus (horse). Its description in RNAcentral is "lncRNA (ENSECAG00000054644.1)". The record is from RNAcentral. Lineage: Eukaryota; Metazoa; Chordata; Mammalia; Perissodactyla; Equidae.